RNAcentral lists this ribosomal RNA (669 nucleotides) under uncultured bacterium. Its description in RNAcentral is "bacterial SSU rRNA". It matches the Rfam family "Bacterial small subunit ribosomal RNA", at positions 165 to 852 of the family's 1533-position model. The record is from RNAcentral.
AAUACCGCAUAAGACCGCGGUACCGCAUGGUACAGCGGUAAAAACUCCGGUGGUAUGAGAUGGGCCCGCGUCUGAUUAGCUAGUUGGCGGGGUAACGGCCCACCAAGGCGACGAUCAGUAGCCGACCUGAGAGGGUGACCGGCCACAUUGGGACUGAGACACGGCCCAAACUCCUACGGGAGGCAGCAGUGGGGAAUAUUGCACAAUGGGGGAAACCCUGAUGCAGCGACGCCGCGUGAGCGAUGAAGUAUUUCGGUAUGUAAAGCUCUAUCAGCAGGGAAGAAAAUGACGGUACCUGACUAAGAAGCCCCGGCUAACUACGUGCCAGCAGCCGCGGUAAUACGUAGGGGGCAAGCGUUAUCCGGAUUUACUGGGUGUAAAGGGAGCGUAGACGGCAACGCAAGCCAGAUGUGAAAGCCCGGGGCUCAACCCCGGGACUGCAUUUGGAACUGUGUAGCUGGAGUGUCGGAGAGGCAGGCGGAAUUCCUAGUGUAGCGGUGAAAUGCGUAGAUAUUAGGAGGAACACCAGUGGCGAAGGCGGCCUGCUGGACGAUGACUGACGUUGAGGCUCGAAAGCGUGGGGAGCAAACAGGAUUAGAUACCCUGGUAGUCCACGCCGUAAACGAUGACUACUAGGUGUCGGGCAGCAAAGCUGUUCGGUGCCGCAGC